RNAcentral lists this ribosomal RNA (146 nucleotides) under uncultured Bacillota bacterium. RNAcentral describes it as "uncultured Firmicutes bacterium partial 16S rRNA". It matches the Rfam family "Bacterial small subunit ribosomal RNA", at positions 355 to 492 of the family's 1533-position model. Lineage: Bacteria; Bacillati; Bacillota. The record is from RNAcentral.
UGGGGAAUCUUCCGCAAUGGACGAAAGUCUGACGGAGCAACGCCGCGUGAGUGAAGAAGGUUUUCGGAUCGUAAAACUCUGUUUUCAGGGACGAAUGUGCGAUAUGUGAAUAAUGUAUUGUAAUGACGGUACCUGAGUAGAAAGCC